RNAcentral lists this long non-coding RNA (223 nucleotides) under Mytilus galloprovincialis (Mediterranean mussel). Lineage: Eukaryota; Metazoa; Mollusca; Bivalvia; Mytilida; Mytilidae. The record is from RNAcentral.
AAAGUUUGUAUACGAAGCCGUCCAGGUUUCCUUCUAUUGGAAUUUUAUCAUGAAUAUCUGGAAGACAUCGUUCAUUACUCUGGAGAACCUCAUGUUUAUCAUUGGAGAUAUGCUUCAUAACCUUGGUAGUGCACUUGCUCACAAUAUACUAUGCCCCAGCAGAGACAUAUUUUCCAUUAAAAGUAGUUAGCUGGUUGUUUUCAGGGUUUGUAUUCUGUAAUUC